Molecule: non-coding RNA, 9453 nt
Organism: Sus scrofa (pig)
Lineage: Eukaryota; Metazoa; Chordata; Mammalia; Artiodactyla; Suidae
Source: RefSeq, a predicted model, not a curated record
UUUUUUUUUUUUUUUUUUUUUUUUUGCUGUGCUUGGUUAAAUCCAUUCUGAUUCUGAUUGUGCCCUGAGGAAUUCUAAAUUUAUGAGGUAAGGUCUCUUUUUCAUUUCUUGGGGCAGGAAUUUGUGAAUUGUCAGUCCUAUUUCAUUUGAGCUCUGUUCCAUAAUCCAAUCCUCUGCCUGCUAUAGAUACAACAAAAAUUUCCUCAUAUAGCAGAAAAUAGUGGCAUUCUCUUUUUAAAUUAAAAAAAUAGGGGGGAAAAAGGGAAAGAAAGAGCAUAGUAUGGGCAACUACAUCAUCCAACAGUAAAUUUGAACCCCAGUUUUUCUAAAUACAACCUUGUGUACACAAACCUUGCUGGCAUUAACAGCAUUGGGCUCUUGGCACUAUGCUUAUUUGUCCAUUUGACUGAGUAGGAGGAAGGACAUGGUCCUUUAGGCCAGUAUGACAGUGUAAUUGAUACUCCCCACGGGACCUACAAUGCCAGUAUGUCAAGUGAUGGUAAUUUUUUAGAAGUACAAUUUGUUGUUAUCACCAAGAGUUUGCUUAUUGAGGAGUUGGUAUCUAAGGACAUACCCUCUAAAACCAUACUGUCCUUAGUUAUCUUGAAACUAGUAUGCCUAUCAUGUUCCUGAGGGUAUUAUUUAAACCUCACUACCUAAAAGUAGUCAGAUCCCACUGCUUCUUACUAAAUUGCACAGCAUGUCCUCAGCUCCUUGUGAUUUUUCUAUAACAACUACGGUUCAAACCUAAAUGUCUACAGAAAUUUCCUUUCCAUUUGUUUCUCUGAAUCUCAUUUGUAUUCAGAUAUGAACUGUAAUAUGGUGUUAUUAGCCUCGAAGUAGUUCUUCUGAGCUGUAGAUGUUUUGUGUGCUGUUUAAUUAUGAGUAGAUAUCACCCAACCCUAAUCCCCAUGCAAUUUUACCUAUUUUUCAAAGAUACCAGAAACAUUUGUACAAGAACUUAAAUAGUGGGAAGAGAGUUGCCUUUUUUCUAAAAGGAAUUACAAAGAAAAGCUCUGACAUAUAGCUAACAAGGCUUUGGGACUGGUCCUGCAAAUAGAUUGAGUAACCUUUUGGGACAAUUUUGGGCUUCCUCUUUUUCUUAUGAAAAUAAAGUCUUAGGAAUUCUUAGAUCCCACAGAUUUAAUUGUGGGGAAAUAGAUAGCACAAACUUAUUGUGUCUUAAGAUGGUCAAGGGUAAUGUAAAAUUCUUAUUCUUGAAAAAAAUAUUUCCAUUAAAAGAAAAUUCUUCCUCUAAGGAAGCCACUUUUGGAGAGGCAUAUUGGUCACUGAAAGCACUUUAGGAUAGUUGAUAGACAGGGAAUACAUACUUGAGGAUAUUUGAAGGUAACGUUUCUUUAUAGGGUAACAGUCUCUUUGGGAAUUUUAUCCAAAGAUACUUCUUAAGGAGAAAACUUUCAGUUUAGCAGCCAUUUAUUAAAGUAUCCACUUGGCGUUCUUGUCGUGGUGCAGCAGAAACUGAAUCUGACUAGGAACCAUGAGGUUUCGGGUUCAGUCCCUGGCUUUGCUCAGUGGGUUAAGGAUCUGGCGUUGGCAUGAGCUGUGGUGCAAGUUGCAGACGCAGCUCAGAUCUGACUGUUGCUGUGGUGUAGGCCGGCGGCUACAGCUCCUAUUAGACUCCUAGCCUGGGAACCUCCAUGUGCCUGGGGUGCGGCCCCCAAAAAAAGACAAAAAAAAAUUUUUUUUUUUUAAGUAUCCACUUGGUAUCCAUAGUGACAGCCUAAUUGGGAAAUACUGAGCCUUCCUUUGUGUUAGGCCCUGAGCUAGGGGUCAAAGGAUGCAGUCUUUGAAACUGCAGCAUGGGGGUGAGGGGCAAGAAAACUAGGGUUAUUAUAAGUGAUGAGGGUGUGGCUGAGAACCUGUCGUACCAUUUAGUGCCUUUACAUCAGGGAAUAGGCAGUUUCUCUUUGAGGACAUUCCAAAAAAAAAAAAAAAAAAAAAUCUCCAUAGGUGGCAUCGAAAGAGAUAAUGGCCUAUUUAAAUGUACAUGUGUUUUAUGCAUAUCCUUACCUUGAUUUGGGGUGUCUUCCAAGCCAGACUCUUCAGAGCCAGUCCUUAUCACACAGUUUCAUGAGAUAAGUACUGUUAUUACCCACACUUGACAGAUUAAGAAACUGAUACACAGAGAGGAUCAGGAACUCACCCAGUAUCACACUAGUGUGGGGGUGGGCUGGGGCCUGAAUUGAGCCCUAACCAAUUUGACUCCAGAACUCUCAAUCUCUCUGCAGACAGGGACCACUAAGUGAAAAGAAACUUUAAUGUGAGGUAUAAACAUGAUUCCUUUAGCAUGAAGUUGUGUAAAUUUAAGAUUUUAAGCAGCAGGGAGGAAACUUCAGUCCUGGUUAAAAGUUCUGGUAUUACAAAUAAUAAUACCAAGUUUUUGGUUAAAGCUUGUAUUAGUGUUAAACCUUUACUGGCAUUAGGAUACUAAAGCAGCCAACAAAUGAACAUUUUUGGGCAAACUCGGAGUGCUUUUUUGAAUGGGUAGAGUCAGCUUCCCCUUUUACAUUUAGUCAGAAGAUACCUGUAAUUAAUAAUUUCCAUUUAGUUCCCAGUCACUUUUUGCCCACCAGAUCAACCCCCGUGCCCCCCACCCCCAGCCCCAAUAGCACUUCUCUCACUUCAGUUUCUUAUCUGCUUCAGAGCCCUCACUUUGGAGCCCUUGCUCCAAGAAGUGGCCUUUGUGCUUCAGCUAUCCGAGGUCCCUUUGCCCUGUUUAUCCUUUUCCUUUAUGGCUCCAGCAGACCCUGGGGCAGGGUGACCUUAUUAAAGACUCUGUGAAACAAGGUUGUCUGUCAUCUCUUUGGAGACACCUCUCCCCUCCUCUGCUGCUAAUUCUGAAAGGCACUCUGCUUAUCCACUCCUUCCAUCUCAAAGAAAGGACUGGUUGGAGUAGGAACACGUGGCCAUUGCUCCCAUUGCUCAGGGUCAGCAACCGGUUACUGUAUGGUGAUUGGGUAGUGCCAAAUCUCAUCCCACCUCCCCACCUUGAAGCAGCUGAUCUUGUUUCAGUGUUCCGUGCCUCCCCUCUUGGAUAGAGGAAGGUGGGCAUAUUAAAAAUUGCUCAUGGCCCUCCACUCUGUCUCUUUCCAACUUUGCCUUUGUUAUCUUCUUAGCAUUUUAAACUCACUCCCAGCUCGGCUGUUUCCUUUCCUUCUAUUUUCGGGGUUCUUCCAAGCAAGCAGCUGUAACUUUGUCCUCUCCACCCAGCCCCCUCACCCGCCCCCAGGGAAACAAGGAGAGAGUACCCUCUCCCUGUGGGGUUAGGCUUCAGUGGUUGUAACCCGAGAAAAGAAGGAAAAAGGCCAGGCCUAUGAGCCAGCAGUGAGCUCAGAGCGGCCUGCCAGAGGCUGAGAACCUUGCUCACUCAGCGCCUCCCUCUUUUCUUUCCCCUCCCCUGCUGCAGCAGGGCCCUCCCCCAUCCGCACACACGGGCUGCUGGGUAAGUGGCAAGAUGGCUCCCCUGCAUGUCUCCGGCUGAUCGCCGCCGCUCCGCCAAUACAAUAGAGCCAGCCACUACCAGCAGCCUGGCCCUCUUCCUCCUCCUUCUCCGGAGAGACCAAGCCAGCUGAAUUCGGGGUUUGCCAAAGGGAUAAACAGCACUUCCAGGGGGAGAAAAAAAAUCAUGUUAUCAGAAAGCAAAGAAGGUGAGGAGAAGGAGGAAGUGACCAUGGACACAAGUGAAAACAGACCUGAAAAUGAGGUUCCAGAGCCCCCCAUGCCUAUUGCAGACCAAGUCAGCAAUGAUGACCGCCCAGAGGGCAGUGCAGAGGAUGAGGAGAAGAAAGAGGUAAAUAUUCAAGCCACCUGCUCGGGUGGGUGGGCAGGAGUGGACCUGGGGGAAAGAGUAGACCACUCUGGUGAUCCCUCUUACACAGUGGGAUAGCUUAAAGAAGGGACUAGGCAAAGACUUGGAUCAGGAUAGGGCCAAGGGAGAAUUCGCUGGUUUAGUAAGGGAGACCCCUUGUGAUGGGGACAGGGCUCAUUCAUUCCCCUUUCCUUGUUGGGAAAGUAAUGCAGUGCAGAGUCUUGGAAGUUUGUAAUCACUGGGAAAGUUAUCUAAAACCCUUUAUCUAAAACCCAGGCUCAGCUUUCCCUGCCACCUUUUCUAGCUUCUCCCUGUGUUAACCCCUUUAGCUUUCCCUCCUUUUUAAAAGUGUGUUGGAGCUCAACGCCAUCUAGUGGGCUUUGGUGGUUCUCAGCUGACCACCAUGCUGAGGAAUUUUUGUUCCUCAUCUGCCCCCCAGUGGUCUCGUUGCAGAGAUGUAGCUACUUAGAAGCCACCACCUGAAGGCCCCUUCCCCAUUUUUGUGACCCCUCUACUUUUUGGCGUAUGUAGUGUGUCCUGCACCCAAUUCAGGGGACUCCCCCCGUCAGAGCCAGCGAAGUCUUCUUGGCUCUUAAAGUAAUUAGAGAAUGGAUUAGCUGGGUUUGGGAGUAGGGUAACAGGGUGGGAGGGACUGUUGUGUGUGUAGCCUUUCUUUGGUGUGUGUUGCGGGGGUGGGGGCCGGUGAAAGUGAUUUGAUGUGCAGAAUAUUAUUUAUUACAAGGUCCUUCUUCCCCGUAAAACUUUGUCCAAGUACCUCAUGUACGGUAAUCCGCCCGUAAAAUAUAACCCUGCCCAACUGGCCAAUCGCUGAUGCCGCCUCUUCCUCUGGACCCACCCGCUGCUACUGAGCUGCCCAGUCAGAGCUGAGUCUGCUAUCCAGGUGUCUUGGCCAGAGGGGGGCAUGUGUAUGGGAUCCUGUGAUGGGCCCCCUUUUGCCUCCCUGCCUUGCUUACAUCAGGGGGCCAAGAAGAGCACUGUUCUGGAGAGACUUGUAUUGAGAAAGCAAAAAGCAUUUGGAAAGGGGUGGACUUGCAUCAUCUCCCUCUUUGGGACACCCCAAGAAGAGCUUGUGUCAGUGCUGGGGCGCCUGCUCAUAUGCCCUUGCCCUUUUGAGGACUGUGGGUUGCCUUGUUUGCUACAGACUGUUGGGAUCCCCAUCUAGGGCACCAAGACCUCCUAAAGAGUCAAUCUUUGUGAUCACAGUGCCAUGCUGUAAAAUACCGAGUGGGGCUCUCGGCUUAAGCUGUGACGACUAGGAACCCUGCAGAGAAGUCUAGGGUCUGAGCCCAGGGAUUUAAUGCUGAUGACAGCCCAGCCAUGUAUCACCACUUGCUCAUCAGAUGGACUUUCCUUUGGUCCCUGUUGUCCAUGGUGAAGGGCAGCAUGUUGGUUGCUCCAGCUUCUCCUCCAUCCCUGGAGGCAGGGGCUCAUCCAUCCACCUGACUGGAACCACUGUCUCAGCUGGAGUCCCUGAGGAGAUGCCACACACCACUCUCAGAAGAAAAGUAUUGUGACCUUGCUGCUGAAUGUGUGCCAGGUCCUGGGGCUAUCCACCUACUACCCCAGGCUGCCUUCAACAGCGGCUCCAUGAUCCCACUCGGUGAGAGGACCCCCUCCCCAAGUUACAGGCAGAGGAGAAAGGGACUCUGGAGUCAUCACCUGGAUUCCAAGUAUUGGGUGGUGGUAUUGCUGCAGCUUGCCACUGGUGGACAUAGGGUCCUGCCUGCUUCUCACGAUAAAAGGCCAGGACCAUUCCUGCUACUCAGAGGCCAUCUCAUCAGGGACUGCAAGAUGAUGCCCCUACAGGGCCAGGACUGAUGUCUCUGCCCCUUUUCCCCCCGUACCCCUCGCUGAGCCUGGCCACCGCCAGUGAACUGUCUUGACAUCAUGGAAACUGGGCAGCGUCCCCCCACACGUUUCCCUCCCGCCCCCCCUGCGCCCCUGGGAGGACUCUGGCUGUGCCGUGCUGACCACCACGCCGUGCGCCCACCUUUUUUGCCAACCCAACCCCCCACCAAUUGCACAGCGCCUAGCAGGGAGGGCUCAUUCUGAUUGGACCGGCGGUUGACUAGAUACAGUACACAGUGAGGUGCGAUUGGCUGAACUGAAGAUCCCAGGUGUGAGAUGGUACCUGGAACAUUUGUCAUAUUCCUAGUUUAUUUUCCUCUUUAUUUUCUUCUUUCCCUUCUUUUUAAAAUCUUUUAUUUUAAUUUUUUCUUUAUCUUUUUUUUCUGAUUUCUUUAUUGGAUUUAUUUAUUUAUUUGGUUCAUGUUUUUCCUGUUUUAAUUAAAACUUUUUUUUUUUUUUUCUCACUAACUUACCCAUCGAGAGCGGCCCAGCUAGGGGUCAGGCUGGCCCUUAACGGAGACCAAGGAGACUUGGUUAGACGACACAAACGGGGCUGGGGGGUGGAUGGGAGAAAGGGAUUUCAUUAAGAGGGUUCCUGCCCUUCCCUUUAGAAGGGUGGUAGGUCUUAGUUUUUCCAGAAAUAAGCACUUAAGUCUAAAAAUACUUUAUUCCUCUUUUUGCUCUGUCUUCCCCUUUUUGCUCUGUCCACAGCCUUUCUCCCACUGAGUAUUUGGGGCAGAAACUUGCUCAAAAGCAAGUUUGGAAGAUUCUGGUCCUUGGCAGAGUCCCUAAGGCAAAAGCCCUGUUUGGAGAAGAAACAGGCUCUGCUUGAGCUCCAUACAGUGGUUGAAAAGUCUGAAACUCCCUGGAGAUGGAUUACCCUGCAUAAAGACCUAUCUUUACCAAAGACACCUUUAAAUUCUUUCUGCCAGCCCUUGGCUCAGGAGGCUCCUCUCCAGUGAAUCUGGUGCUGCCCUUUUCUAUAGUGUGGUGAGGAUACAGCAGUUAGUCUGUCUGCUAUCAAAGCCAUUUUCAGUGGAUAUCAGGCUGGGUAUUGAAAAAAGGAAGAGGGUUCCUUUUUGAAGUUGCCAUCCCAAAGUUGGUUUUCCUUGUUUCCUCAUGUUUUCCUUGAGUUAGCAAGAAAGACCUUUAGAAAGACUAGACCACCCAGUUCUGGGCACAGCUUGUUGGGCUUGGCUUCCUCUUGAUCCAUAGAGACAAUGGAAGAGGGCAUGGCCAGUGCCUUUAAAGGACUGGGAGGCUACUGAAAUUCUUCUUUCAGCUUAUUUCUGGUUAAGCUAAUACAUAGGUAUGGUAUGCACUAGAUGACUUUUCCCUGCUGUGAUGUUUGGUUUUAUUUUUUUCUCUAACUUGCAUUGAUUCUGCUUCGUUUUUGCCGUUUGCCGCUUCUGUUUUGGUCUCUGUCUGUCUCUGUGUCUCUCUCUCUCUGUGUCUUUGGAGCCUAUGCUAAGACUGCCCCGUCUAACCUCCUUCCCCCCUCUCUGUGGGGUGUGUCUCUUUCUCUUUUUUUUCCCCUUUUCUUCUCUAUACAGAGUUCGCAGCCCAAAUCAUUCAAGAGGAAGAUCUCCGUUGUCUCAGCUACCAAGGGGGUGCCAGCUGGAAACAGUGACACAGAGGGGGGCCAGCCUGGUCGGAAGCGGCGUUGGGGAGCCAGCACAGCCACCACACAGAAGAAACCCUCCAUCAGUAUCACCACCGAAUCACUCAAGAGCCUCAUCCCCGACAUCAAACCCCUGGCGGGGCAGGAGGCUGUUGUGGAUCUUCAUGCUGACGACUCCAGAAUCUCUGAGGAUGAGACAGAGCGUAAUGGUGACGAUGGGACUCAUGACAAGGGGCUGAAAAUAUGCCGGACCGUCACUCAGGUAGUACCUGCCGAGGGCCAGGAGAACGGGCAGAGGGAAGAGGAGGAAGAAGAGAAGGAGCCUGAAGCAGAAGCCCCUGUACCUCCCCAGGUCUCAGUAGAAGUGGCUUUGCCCCCACCCGUGGAGCAUGAAGUAAAGAAAGUGACUUUAGGAGAUACCUUAACUCGACGUUCCAUUAGCCAGCAGAAGUCUGGAGUUUCCAUUACAAUUGAUGACCCAGUCCGGACUGCUCAAGUGCCCUCCCCACCCCGGGGCAAGAUCAGUAACAUCGUCCACAUCUCCAAUUUGGUUCGUCCCUUCACUUUAGGCCAACUGAAGGAAUUGUUGGGACGUACGGGAACUCUGGUAGAAGAGGCUUUCUGGAUUGACAAGAUCAAAUCUCAUUGCUUUGUAACGUACUCAACAGUAGAGGAAGCAGUUGCCACCCGCACAGCUCUACAUGGGGUCAAAUGGCCUCAGUCCAAUCCCAAAUUCCUUUGUGCUGACUAUGCUGAGCAAGAUGAGCUGGAUUAUCACCGAGGCCUCUUGGUAGACCGACCGUCUGAAACGAAAACAGAGGAGCAGGGGGUACCACGGCCGCUGCACCCCCCGCCCCCUCCCCCAGCCCAGCCACCACAGCACCCCAGGGCAGAGCAGCGGGAACAGGAGCGGGCGGUGCGGGAGCAGUGGGCAGAGCGGGAACGGGAAAUGGAGCGGCGAGAACGAACUCGAUCUGAGCGUGAAUGGGAUCGGGAUAAAGUUCGAGAAGGACCCCGGUCCCGGUCCCGGUCCCGUGACCGCCGCCGCAAGGAACGUGCAAAGUCUAAGGAAAAAAAGAGUGAGAAGAAAGAGAAAGCUCAGGAAGAGCCACCUGCCAAGCUGCUGGACGACCUUUUCCGUAAGACCAAGGCAGCUCCCUGCAUCUAUUGGCUCCCACUGACUGACAGCCAGAUUGUUCAGAAGGAGGCAGAGCGGGCUGAACGGGCCAAGGAGCGGGAGAAGCGGCGAAAGGAGCAAGAAGAAGAGGAGCAGAAGGAGCGGGAGAAGGAGGCGGAGCGGGAACGGACCCGACAGCUGGAAAGGGAGAAGCGGCGAGAGCACAGCCGGGAGAGGGACAGGGAGAGAGACAGGGACAGGGAAAGGGACAGGGGGGAUCGAGAUCGGGAGAGGGAGAGGGAUCGGGAACGAGGCAGGGAGAGGGACCGCAGGGACACCAAGCGCCACAGCAGGAGCCGGAGUCGGAGCACACCUGUGCGGGACCGGGGUGGGCGCCGCUAGCCAGAAAACACUAGGGAGAGCUGCAGGCGUCAGCCACCCUGCCCCAGGGGGUUCAAGGCCACAGAGGGAUAGGUACAAUCUCCACCACCCUGGAACCAGGGGUCUUUCACAUCUUUUGCCCAGUGAUGAAGUAUGGCUGCCACCUGUCCCCACAUACCAAAUGGAGCAGUGGCCAAGAAUCUUCCCCACCACCACCCCGGUAAUCUUAUCUCUUGGGACUUAGCCCUCUCCUCUCUCUCAUUUCCCAUUAAGUCUGUGAGAGGGAAGAACUAGGUGAAGGAGGGAGGUGGUUGGCCCAGAGGUCGGGAGCAGCCAGGAGCCCCAAGCCUCUUGUUUUUCCUCCAUCCUGCUCACCACCUGCUUUGGUACUCGCACCCACUUCUUGGGAACAGCCGGGGCCAGGACUGGGUCACCUAUGAGCUGAAUCAGCAUCUCCUCCUGAGUCCCAGGGCCCCUGCAGUUCCCAGUCUCUUCAGUCCUGCAGCCCUUGCCUCCUGUCCACCGGUUCCACUUUAUAUCCACCUUUUCCUUUUGUUCAAUUUUUAUUUUUAUUUUUUUUUAUUAUUAAAUGAUGUGGUCUAUGGAAAAUAAUAAAUCUGACUUAGUUUUAACUAG